Molecule: ribosomal RNA, 478 nt
Filed under: uncultured bacterium
Lineage: Bacteria
Description: bacterial SSU rRNA
Rfam family: Bacterial small subunit ribosomal RNA
Source: RNAcentral
UCUUUGGAUUGUAAACCCCUGUCACCGGGGAAGAAACGUUUCAAGUUAACAGCUUGAAACCUGACAUAACCCGGAGAGGAAGCAGUGGCUAACUCUGUGCCAGCAGCCGCGGUAAUACAGAGACUGCAAGCGUUAUUCGGAUUCACUGGGCGUAAAGGGUGCGCAGGCGGCCGUGUGUGUUAGGCGUGAAAGCCCGAGGCUCAACCUCGGAAUUGCAACCUAAAACUACACGGCUAGAGUACUGGAGAGGGUAGCGGAAUUCACGGUGUAGCAGUGAAAUGCGUAGAUAUCGUGAGGAACACCAAUGGCGAAGGCAGCUACCUGGACAGUAACUGACGCUCAGGCACGAAAGCGUGGGGAGCAAAAAGGGAUUAGAUACCCCUGUAGUCCACGCCCUAAAACGGUGCACACUAGGUCUUGGCGGAUUCGACCCCCCACGGACCGACGACACGACGUAGUAGUGCCGCCUGAGGACUAC